This is a long non-coding RNA of Polistes dominula (European paper wasp), 263 nucleotides long. NCBI's taxonomy places the organism in Eukaryota, Metazoa, Arthropoda, Insecta, Hymenoptera, Vespidae. The record is from RefSeq and is a predicted model, not a curated record.
CCAUCUAGCAGCGGUACUAGCUAUUACUUUAUUGUACCGACUGGUAAGAUUAUGCUGUUAUCAUCAAAUGAUGGAAAUAUUUAAUUCACUUACCGACAAGUACAAUAUGUUUCUUCAUCUAGACGAAAGAAAAUACAUCGCGCUUGGACACAAUCAAGAUGGCCMCCUGCCAUUGUWUACUGCCACGUGCAAUAAAUGAUUAGUGCUCGGCAAUUCAGCUUAAGAAGAAAACCAUUGGAUUUGAUGUGUGAUAUCUUCUGAAG